RNAcentral lists this ribosomal RNA (274 nucleotides) under uncultured bacterium. RNAcentral describes it as "partial 16S ribosomal RNA". It matches the Rfam family "Bacterial small subunit ribosomal RNA", at positions 523 to 796 of the family's 1533-position model. The record is from RNAcentral.
AUACGGAGGGUGCAAGCGUUAAUCGGAAUUACUGGGCGUAAAGCGUACGUAGGCGGUCCGUUAAGUUAGAUGUGAAAGCCCCGGGCUUAACCUGGGAACUGCAUUUAAAACUGGCGGACUAGAGUUGAGUAGAGGGGAGUGGAAUUUCAGGUGUAGCGGUGAAAUGCGUAGAGAUCUGAAGGAACACCAGUGGCGAAGGCGACUCCCUGGACUCGAACUGACGCUGAGGUACGAAAGCGUGGGUAGCAAACGGGAUUAGAAACCCCAGUAGUCC